CUCGGCCAUUGGUUUGUGGAUUGUCGUUUUGAAGAUUCAAGUUUCUACGACAUUGCCACGAGAGUGGCCAUAUUUGGGUGGCGGAGGUAUCUAUUAGACUCUAAAUGGACUCUAAUUUACUCAAUGAACAAGAUGAUGUAAUAACGAACAGUUAAAUCUAGAGAUCGAGACAAUGAACAGCAGUAGCAGCGUUACAAGUUCAUUCUUCUGUUGCCAAGUGCUUGCGUCACAGUUUCCUGAUUUAAAUUGCGUUUCUGUAGUAAGGUGUAUUGCCCACACAUCUACAAGUUAUCUCAAGCAUUUGUGAAGGAGACAUGUAUGAAAUCAAACAGAAGCACCAGCUUAUAAUGAAUGGUUGGAGUGACGCCUGUAACGUGUCUGCUGUGGGACACACACACUGUAAUGUUAUGUUAAUGUGCCUCAGUGUGAUAGAAGGUACUUCAGUACCUGGUAAUAGGAUACAAGAAUGACCAUGGCUGUUUGAAUGGAGUAUACAUUCUUCUGUGUACUACCAAAUCUAUUAUAAUUUGUAUCUUAGUAUUUUAUUAAACUACUUGGAUCUUUUUGCUGUAGCACAGCGUAGCAACAUUUCCUCUCUAAGUGUCACGAUUGCAGGGAAGGCAGGACUCAAAUGCAGAGUUUAAGGAAACAAGAAAUACUUUAAUAGUCAAAAUCCAAAAGCAAAAAGGACAAGGGGCAAAAACGCGCACACGGGAACCAGGAACACUCAGACAAGGACCUCCGGACAUGGACCAAUGACGCGACAAGGGACAAGAGACACACAUGACUUAAAUACACUGGGAAGGUGCAGGCGAUUGGAUACAGGGCCCAAAGUGAGGACUGGCCAAAAUGUCCUCACUUUUACAGAGUCCUCCAUCUGAAGGUCUAAACCUCCCACUGGUCGUCACAAAGAUAGCUAUGACUUUAGGACAAGAACUAGGAAAUCCGUGUUGAUCCGCUGCACACAUGGUAUCUGUCCACUGUGUCUCCGGCACCUUUCCCUGCUGCGGCA
Gasterosteus aculeatus aculeatus (three-spined stickleback) is the source of this 1012-nucleotide long non-coding RNA. Lineage: Eukaryota; Metazoa; Chordata; Actinopteri; Perciformes; Gasterosteidae. The record is from Ensembl.